CAAACUGGUCAUACUAUCUCAUCAAUGUUUGAUCUUAUCUGAUCUCAGGAGCUAAUGAAGUUUGGGCCUUGUUAGUACUUGAAUGGGAGACAACUGGGAACACCAGGAGCCACAGUGG
Molecule: ribosomal RNA, 118 nt
Filed under: Periophthalmus magnuspinnatus
Lineage: Eukaryota; Metazoa; Chordata; Actinopteri; Gobiiformes; Gobiidae
Source: RNAcentral